GCAUGUUGCUCCGUGGUAGAGCACUUGCCUAGCAUGUGUGAGGUCCUGGGUUGAAUCCCCAGUAACACACA
RNAcentral lists this transfer RNA (71 nucleotides) under Marmota monax (woodchuck). Its description in RNAcentral is "tRNA.Ala". The record is from RNAcentral. Lineage: Eukaryota; Metazoa; Chordata; Mammalia; Rodentia; Sciuridae.